GACGAACGCUGGCGGCGUGCCUAAUACAUGCAAGUAGAACGCUGAAGGAGGAGCUUGCUUCUCUGGAUGAGUUGCGAACGGGUGAGUAACGCGUAGGUAACCUGCCUGGUAGCGGGGGAUAACUAUUGGAAACGAUAGCUAAUACCGCAUAAUAGUAGAUGUUGCAUGACAUUUACUUAAAAGGUGCAAUUGCAUCACUACCAGAUGGACCUGCGUUGUAUUAGCUAGUUGGUGGGGUAACGGCUCACCAAGGCGACGAUACAUAGCCGACCUGAGAGGGUGAUCGGCCACACUGGGACUGAGACACGGCCCAGACUCCUACGGGAGGCAGCAGUAGGGAAUCUUCGGCAAUGGACGAAAGUCUGACCGAGCAACGCCGCGUGAGGGAAGAAGGGUUUCGGAUCGUAAAGCUCUGUUGUAAGAGAAGAACGAGUGUGAGAGUGGAAAGUUCACACUGUGACGGUAUCUUACCAGAAAGGGACGGCUAACUACGUG
RNAcentral lists this ribosomal RNA (495 nucleotides) under uncultured bacterium. RNAcentral describes it as "partial 16S ribosomal RNA". It matches the Rfam family "Bacterial small subunit ribosomal RNA", at positions 28 to 507 of the family's 1533-position model. The record is from RNAcentral.